GGCGGACGGGUGAGUAACACGUGGGUAACCUGCCCUUAAGUGGGGGAUAACAUUUGGAAACAGAUGCUAAUACCGCAUAGAUCCAAGAACCGCAUGGUUCUUGGCUGAAAGAUGGCGUAAGCUAUCGCUUUUGGAUGGACCCGCGGCGUAUUAGCUAGUUGGUGAGGUAAUGGCUCACCAAGGCGAUGAUACGUAGCCGAACUGAGAGGUUGAUCGGCCACAUUGGGACUGAGACACGGCCCAAACUCCUACGGGAGGCAGCAGUAGGGAAUCUUCCACAAUGGACGCAAGUCUGAUGGAGCAACGCCGCGUGAGUGAAGAAGGCUUUCGGGUCGUAAAACUCUGUUGUUGGAGAAGAAUGGUCGGCAGAGUAACUGUUGUCGGCGUGACGGUAUCCAACCAGAAAGCCACGGCUAACUACGUGCCAGCAGCCGCGGUAAUACGUAGGUGGCAAGCGUUAUCCGGA
This 466-nucleotide ribosomal RNA is filed under the name Lacticaseibacillus casei. Its description in RNAcentral is "bacterial SSU rRNA". It matches the Rfam family "Bacterial small subunit ribosomal RNA", at positions 97 to 549 of the family's 1533-position model. Lineage: Bacteria; Bacillati; Bacillota; Bacilli; Lactobacillales; Lactobacillaceae. The record is from RNAcentral.